GAGGAACGCUGGCGGCGUGCUUAACACAUGCAAGUCGAACGGAAAGGCCGAAGCUUGCUUCGGUACUCGAGUGGCGAACGGGUGAGUAACACGUGGGUGAUCUGCCCUGUACUUCGGGAUAAGCUUGGGAAACUGGGUCUAAUACCGGAUAUGACGAUCUCUUGGAUGGGGUUGUGGAAAGCUUUUGCGGUAUGGGAUGAGCUCGCGGCCUAUCAGCUUGUUGGUGGGGUAAUGGCCUACCAAGGCGUCGACGGGUAGCCGGCCUGAGAGGGUGUACGGCCACAUUGGGACUGAGAUACGGCCCAGACUCCUACGGGAGGCAGCAGUGGGGAAUAUUGCACAAUGGGCGCAAGCCUGAUGCAGCGACGCCGCGUGGGGGAUGACGGCCUUCGGGUUGUAAACUCCUUUCGCAAUCGACGAAGCCUUUUGGUGACGGUAGGUUGAGAAGAAGCACCGGCUCCCUACGUG
Molecule: ribosomal RNA, 468 nt
Filed under: uncultured bacterium
Lineage: Bacteria
Description: partial 16S ribosomal RNA
Rfam family: Bacterial small subunit ribosomal RNA
Source: RNAcentral